GGCCCAGACUCCUACGGGAGGCAGCAGUGGGGAAUAUUGCACAAUGGGGGAAACCCUGAUGCAGCGACGCCGCGUGAGUGAAGAGGUAUUUCGGUAUGUAAAUCUCUAUCAGCAGGGAAGAAAAUGACGGUACCUGACUAAGAAGCCCCGGCUAACUACGUGCCAGCAGCCGCGGUAAUACGUAGGGGGCAAGCGUUAUCCGGAUUUACUGGGUGUAAAGGGAGCGUAGACGGUCCUGCAAGCCAGAUGUGAAAGCCCGGAGCUCAACCCCGGGACUGCAUUUGGAACUGUAAGGCUAGAGUGUCGGAGAGGCAGGCGGAAUUCCUAGUGUAGCGGUGAAAUGCGUAGAUAUCAGGAGGAACACCGGUGGCGAAGGCGGCCUGCUGGACUGCAACUGACGUUGAGGCCCGAAAGCGUGGGGAGCAAACAGGAUUAGAUACCCGUGUA
RNAcentral lists this ribosomal RNA (447 nucleotides) under uncultured bacterium. RNAcentral describes it as "bacterial SSU rRNA". It matches the Rfam family "Bacterial small subunit ribosomal RNA", at positions 328 to 792 of the family's 1533-position model. The record is from RNAcentral.